This is a long non-coding RNA of Oncorhynchus tshawytscha (Chinook salmon), 342 nucleotides long. Lineage: Eukaryota; Metazoa; Chordata; Actinopteri; Salmoniformes; Salmonidae. The record is from Ensembl.
GGGGGGUGAAGGAGAGAAAAGAUAGAGAGAGAGAAGAAGAGAGAGGGUGUGAGAAAGGGGAAGACAGGAGGGGGGGUGAAGGAGAGAAAAGAUAGAGAGAGAGAAGAAGAGAGAGAGUGGUGACAAAGGGGAAGACAGGAGGGGUGGUGAAGGAGAGAAAAGAUAGAGAGAGAAGAAGAGAGAGGGGUGAGAAAGGGGAAGACCGGAGGGGUGAAGGAGAGAAAAGCUAGAGAGAGAGAAGAAGAGAGAGAGUGGUGACAAAGGGGAAGACAGGAGGGGGGGUGAAGGAGAGAAAAGAUAGAGAGAGAAGAAGAGAGAGGGGGUGAGAAAGGGGAAGACCGG